RNAcentral lists this ribosomal RNA (306 nucleotides) under uncultured Peredibacter sp. Its description in RNAcentral is "bacterial SSU rRNA". It matches the Rfam family "Bacterial small subunit ribosomal RNA", at positions 1033 to 1340 of the family's 1533-position model. The record is from RNAcentral. Lineage: Bacteria; Pseudomonadati; Bdellovibrionota; Bacteriovoracia; Bacteriovoracales; Bacteriovoracaceae.
GAGAGGUGCUGCAUGGCUGUCGUCAGCUCGUGUUGUGAAAUGUUGGGUUAAGUCUCGCAACGAGCGCAACCCCUAUCGUCUGUUGCCAGCAUUAAGUUGGGCACUCUGACAAAACUACCUGGAUUAACCAAAAGGAAGAUGGGAAUAACGUCAAAUCCUCAUGACCCUUAUAUCUAAAACUACACACAUAAUACAAUGGCGCGUACAAAGGGAAGCGAACUCGCAAGGGGGAGCAAAUCUCAAAAAGCGCGUCUCAGUCCGGAUUGGAGUCUGCAACUCGACUCCAUGAAGUUGGAAUCGCUAGUA